Molecule: unclassified non-coding RNA, 1387 nt
Filed under: Neodiprion lecontei (redheaded pine sawfly)
Lineage: Eukaryota; Metazoa; Arthropoda; Insecta; Hymenoptera; Diprionidae
Description: cyclin-dependent kinase 8, transcript variant X3
Source: RNAcentral
UUUGACGCCCGUGAAAAUUCAGCCCAGCCUGCAACUUGGAUUGAAAGAUGUCAUAAUUUAGUUUGUAUGUACUGACAUCAAAUAUGAUGGAUUAUGAAUUUAAAGUAAAAACCCAGAAAGAUCGUACGAAAGUUGAAGAUUUGUUCGAAUUUGAAGGCUGCAAGGUUGGAAGGGGAACGUACGGUCAUGUAUAUAAGGCGAGGAGAAAAGAAGGAGUUCCUGACAGCGAGUUAAAAUCACGUCCUGAUACUAAAGAUUUUGGUCUCAAACAAAUCGAAGGGACUGGGCUUUCUAUGUCAGCAUGUCGCGAGAUAGCACUCCUUAGAGAAUUGAAACAUACAAACGUCAUAACAUUGAUACGUGUCUUUCUAUCACACAAUGAUCGGAAGGUUUGGCUGCUUUUUGAUUUUGCAGAGCAUGAUCUAUGGCAUAUCAUAAAAUUUCAUAGAGCAGCCAAAGCGAAUAAAAAACCUGUUAUGGUACCGAAGGGUAUGGUGAAGUCGCUUUUAUAUCAGAUAUUAGAUGGAAUUCAUUAUUUACAUUCAAACUGGGUUCUUCACAGAGAUCUAAAACCUGCCAAUAUACUAGUGAUGGGAGAAGGUGUGGAAAGAGGGCGAGUAAAGAUAGCUGACAUGGGAUUCGCACGUUUGUUCAAUGCUCCCCUUAAACCCUUAGCAGAUUUGGAUCCUGUGGUCGUUACGUUUUGGUACAGAGCUCCGGAGCUGCUGCUGGGUGCAAGGCAUUAUACAAAAGCAAUUGAUAUCUGGGCAAUUGGAUGUAUAUUUGCGGAAUUACUGACAUCAGAGCCCAUAUUUCACUGCAGACAAGAAGAUAUCAAGACAAGUAAUCCAUAUCAUCACGAUCAGCUCGAUAGAAUAUUCAAUGUAAUGGGAUUUCCAUUGGAAAAAGAUUGGGAAGAUAUAAAAAGAAUGCCAGAGCAUCCUACACUCCUCAAAGACUUCAAGCGAUCAAAUUAUGCCAAUUGUUCCUUAACUAAAUACAUGGAUCGCCAUAAGAUUAAACCGGACAGCAAGGCUUUCAAUUUGCUGCAGAAACUACUGAUGAUGGAUCCUAACAAAAGGAUAACGUCAGAACAUUCCAUGCAGGAUGCCUAUUUUCAGGAAGAACCUUUGCCGACGCAAGAUAUUUUUGCUGGCUGCCCCAUCCCGUAUCCAAAAAGAGAGUUUUUGACUGAUGAUGAUACUGAAGAAAAAAGUGAAAACAAAGCAAGACAAAAUCAGCAGCAAACAGUGUCAGCUAAAUGUUAAAAAUGUGGGCAACUGUUUACUGCGAACAUCAUGAGAUUACAUUGACUGUAUGUACAAGAAUCAGUGUGUCAACACAACACAGGGAGGUACGUGCCAAGUUUAUGGAAAUUCCGCGUGCA